UAGGGAAUAUUGGACAAUGGGGGCAACCCUGAUCCAGCCAUGCCGCGUGAGUGAAGAAGGCCCUCGGGUUGUAAAGCUCUUUUGUCCGGAAAGAAAAGCUUCGGGUUAAUACCCCGGGGUUCUGACGGUACCGGAAGAAUAAGCACCGGCUAACUUCGUGCCAGCAGCCGCGGUAAUACGAAGGGUGCAAGCGUUACUCGGAAUUACUGGGCGUAAAGCGUGCGUAGGUGGUUGUUUAAGUCUGAUGUGAAAGCCCUGGGCUCAACCUGGGAAUGGCGUUGGAAACUGGGCAGCUUGAGUGCGGUAGAGGGUAGUGGAAUUCCCGGUGUAGCAGGGAAAUGCGUAGAGAUCGGGAGGAACAUCUGUGGCGAAGGCGACUGCCUGGACCAGCACUGACACUGAGGCACGAAAGCGUGGGGAGCAAACA
RNAcentral lists this ribosomal RNA (427 nucleotides) under uncultured bacterium. Its description in RNAcentral is "bacterial SSU rRNA". It matches the Rfam family "Bacterial small subunit ribosomal RNA", at positions 355 to 774 of the family's 1533-position model. The record is from RNAcentral.